GGGGAAUAUUGCACAAUCGGGGACACACCCUGAUGCAGCGACGCCGCGUGAGCGAAGAAGUAUUCUCGGUAUGUAAAGCUCUAUCAGCAGGGAAGAAGAAUGACGGUACCUGACUAAGAAGCACCGGCUAAAUUACGUGCCAGCAGCCGCGGUAAUACGUAUGGUGCAAGCGUUAUCCGGAUUUACUGGGUGUAACAGGGAGCGCAGGCGGUGCGGCAAGUCUGAUGUGAAAGCCCGGGGCUCAACCCCGGGACUGCAUUGGAAACGUUCGAACUAGAGUGUCGGAGGGGUAAGUGGAAUUCCUAGUGUAGCGGUGAAAUGCGUAGAUAUUAGGAGGAACACCAGUGGCGAAGGCGGCUUACUGGACGAUUACUGACGCUGAGGCUCGAAAGCGUGGGGAGCAAACAGGAUUAGAUACCCUGGUAG
Molecule: ribosomal RNA, 426 nt
Filed under: uncultured Roseburia sp.
Lineage: Bacteria; Bacillati; Bacillota; Clostridia; Lachnospirales; Lachnospiraceae
Description: bacterial SSU rRNA
Rfam family: Bacterial small subunit ribosomal RNA
Source: RNAcentral